This 1421-nucleotide ribosomal RNA is filed under the name Pessonella sp. PRA-29. RNAcentral describes it as "partial Bacterial small subunit ribosomal RNA". It matches the Rfam family "Bacterial small subunit ribosomal RNA". Lineage: Eukaryota; Discosea; Flabellinia; Vannellidae. The record is from RNAcentral.
CUGAAGAGUUUGAUCAUGGCUCAGAUUGAACGCUGGCGGCAGGCCUAACACAUGCAAGUCGAGCGGUAGCACAGAGAGCUUGCUCUCGGGUGACGAGCGGCGGACGGGUGAGUAAUGUCUGGGAAACUGCCUGAUGGAGGGGGAUAACUACUGGAAACGGUAGCUAAUACCGCAUAACGUCGCAAGACCAAAGUGGGGGACCUUCGGGCCUCAUGCCAUCAGAUGUGCCCAGAUGGGAUUAGCUAGUAGGUGGGGUAAUGGCUCACCUAGGCGACGAUCCCUAGCUGGUCUGAGAGGAUGACCAGCCACACUGGAACUGAGACACGGUCCAGACUCCUACGGGAGGCAGCAGUGGGGAAUCUUAGACAAUGGGCGCAAGCCUGAUCUAGCCAUGCCGCGUGAGUGAUGAAGGUCUUAGGAUCGUAAAGCUCUUUCGCCAGGGAUGAUAAUGACAGUACCUGGUAAAGAAACCCCGGCUAACUCCGUGCCAGCAGCCGCGGUAAUACGGAGGGGGUUAGCGUUGUUCGGAAUUACUGGGCGUAAAGCGUGCGUAGGCGGAUUAGAAAGUAUGGGGUGAAAUCCCAGGGCUCAACCCUGGAACUGCCUCAUAAACUACUAGUCUAGAGUUCGAGAGAGGUGAGUGGAACUCCGAGUGUAGAGGUGAAAUUCGUAGAUAUUCGGAAGAACACCAGUGGCGAAGGCGGCUCACUGGCUCGAUACUGACGCUGAGGUACGAAAGUGUGGGGAGCAAACAGGAUUAGAUACCCUGGUAGUCCACGCUGUAAACGAUGUCGACUUGGAGGUUGUUCCCUUGAGGAGUGGCUUCCGGAGCUAACGCGUUAAGUCGACCGCCUGGGGAGUACGGCCGCAAGGUUAAAACUCAAAUGAAUUGACGGGGGCCCGCACAAGCGGUGGAGCAUGUGGUUUAAUUCGAUGCAACGCGAAGAACCUUACCUACUCUUGACAUCCAGAGAACUUAGCAGAGAUGCUUUGGUGCCUUCGGGAACUCUGAGACAGGUGCUGCAUGGCUGUCGUCAGCUCGUGUUGUGAAAUGUUGGGUUAAGUCCCGCAACGAGCGCAACCCUUAUCCUUUGUUGCCAGCGAUUCGGUCGGGAACUCAAAGGAGACUGCCAGUGAUAAACUGGAGGAAGGUGGGGAUGACGUCAAGUCAUCAUGGCCCUUACGAGUAGGGCUACACACGUGCUACAAUGGCAUAUACAAAGAGAAGCGACCUCGCGAGAGCAAGCGGACCUCAUAAAGUAUGUCGUAGUCCGGAUUGGAGUCUGCAACUCGACUCCAUGAAGUCGGAAUCGCUAGUAAUCGUAGAUCAGAAUGCUACGGUGAAUACGUUCCCGGGCCUUGUACACACCGCCCGUCACACCAUGGGAGUUGGGUCCACCCGAAGGCCGUGCGCCAACCUU